UUUCUCUGCAAAGCAGUAAAGUCAUGUAAGCAGAAACUUCACGAGAGAAUGGCCAUGUACCCUCUGCCUUCUGGGGUUUCCCACUGCCAUUCCCUGGCCCCCACCAGGCACCCCCUCGUCCAGCCGCAAUGGACUGUGUCUCCCCGGGAAGAGCUUUGUGCCAUGUUACCAAUGGUGCCUGGCGUUGGCCUGGACGGGGCACACAGGGUCUCACCUGAGCCUCCAGCCACCUGUGUGGAGUUCUGGCUCUGCUCUAUGCAGGGGACCCCCCAAAGAAACCAGUCGCCAUCAAGCUGGCCCUACAAUUAGCAGCAAGAGCCUGCUCCUCUCUGAAGCCCUGUGUCCCCAUCUGUCAAGUAAUGGCAUUCAACUACAAGAUCUCUGUCCCCAGCUCCAAUACUUUG
Molecule: long non-coding RNA, 404 nt
Organism: Cervus elaphus (red deer)
Lineage: Eukaryota; Metazoa; Chordata; Mammalia; Artiodactyla; Cervidae
Exons: 3
Source: RefSeq, a predicted model, not a curated record